UACGUAGGGGGCAAGCGUUGUCCGGAUUUACUGGGCGUAAAGAGCGUGUAGGCGGCCAAGCAGGUCCGUUGUGAAAACUGGAGGCUUAACCUCCAGACGUCGACGGAAACCGCGUGGCUAGAGUCCGGAAGAGGAGAGUGGAAUUCCUGGUGUAGCGGUGAAAUGCGCAGAUAUCAGGAAGAACACCGAUGGCGAAAGCAGCUCUCUGGGACGGUACUGACGCUGAGGCGCGAAAGCGUGGGGAGCGAACAGG
This 253-nucleotide ribosomal RNA is filed under the name uncultured bacterium. RNAcentral describes it as "partial 16S ribosomal RNA". It matches the Rfam family "Bacterial small subunit ribosomal RNA", at positions 524 to 776 of the family's 1533-position model. The record is from RNAcentral.